RNAcentral lists this unclassified non-coding RNA (284 nucleotides) under plant metagenome. RNAcentral's name for it is "partial contains small subunit ribosomal RNA, internal transcribed spacer 1, and 5.8S ribosomal RNA". The stretch from base 1 to 53 matches the Rfam family "Eukaryotic small subunit ribosomal RNA", at positions 1778 to 1831 of the family's 1831-position model. The record is from RNAcentral.
GGAAGUAAAGUCGUAACAAGGUUUCCGUAGGUGAACCUGCGGAAGGAUCAUUAUUGUAUAACCGAGGUGCGAGGGCUGUUGCUGACCCGAAAGGUCGUGCACGCCCGAGUGCCCUCACACACAUCCAUCUCACCCCUAUGUGCACCACCGCGUGGGUCCCCCUUUGGCUUGUUCGGAGGGGGGCUUACGUUUUCACACAAACUUUGUAUGCAGUGUAGAAUGUAUUUUUUGUUUUUGCGAUCACGCAAUCAAUACAACUUUCAACAACGGAUCUCUUGGCUCUC